Molecule: non-coding RNA, 96 nt
Organism: Phyllosticta paracitricarpa
Lineage: Eukaryota; Fungi; Ascomycota; Dothideomycetes; Botryosphaeriales; Phyllostictaceae
Source: the annotation of a GenBank genome assembly
UCCUCCGUGGCGCAAUUGGCUAGCGCGUCUGACUGUUACAAGACCUUCAGGGUCCUCGCAAUCAGGAGGUUGACAGUUCAAGCCUGUCCGGGGGAG